Molecule: ribosomal RNA, 468 nt
Filed under: uncultured bacterium
Lineage: Bacteria
Description: partial 16S ribosomal RNA
Rfam family: Bacterial small subunit ribosomal RNA
Source: RNAcentral
GACGAACGCUGGCGGCGUGCUUAACACAUGCAAGUCGAACGGAAAGGCCCUGCUUUUGUGGGGUGCUCGAGUGGCGAACGGGUGAGUAACACGUGAGUAACCUGCCCUUGACUUUGGGAUAACUUCAGGAAACUGGGGCUAAUACCGGAUAGGAGCUCCUGCUGCAUGGUGGGGGUUGGAAAGUUUCGGCGGUUGGGGAUGGACUCGCGGGUUAUCAGCUUGUUGGGGGGGCAGUGGCUUACCAAGGCUUUGACGGGUAGCCGGCCUGAGUGGGUGACCGGCCACAUUGGGACUGAGAUACGGCCCAGACUCCUACGGGAGGCAGCAGUGGGGAAUAUUGCACAAUGGGCGGAAGCCUGAUGCAGCAACGCCGCGUGCGGGAUGACGGCCUUCGGGUUGUAAACCGCUUUCGCCUGUGACGAAGCGUGAGUGACGGUAAUGGGUAAAGAGGCACCGGCUAACUACGUG